GAAUUGGUUCUUAACUAUAUACAGGGUGGUUCUCGGUGUGGGAUGGCCAAAAUGAGAGGGAAGGCUGGUAUCGGUUGAACACUACCGGGGGGGAGGCUUCUGGGGGCUCACGGUUGAGAGGCUGGAAAUGAUUUUGAUUUUUGUUUGGACUGUGCGAAGAAGGAUUGUGAUGGUGGCUGAUUGGGAGUAGAAGAGAGGAUGGGUUUGAUUGACUGGUGUGGUUGAAAGAGCGGGAAGAUUGGGAUCGGUUUUGAGAAGGUGGGCUGGAAGAUCACCGCUGUGUUGAUGGUGGUUGUGGGAAAUUGAUUGUGCUGGUUGUGGAACUGGGUUUUUUCAGUGUUCUUUCUCUGAUGGUGUUUGUUUUGGGUGAAUGGAGAGUGACUGGGUUGGACGUUGGUGGUCGGGAUUUUGUUCAGAGAAGAAGAAUGGGCUGACUUUGGUGGAUUUUAUGGAGGAAAGGUGGGCGUUGGUCUUGGGUUAAUGGAAAAGGGUGGAGCUGUUGUGUUUUCCAGAAACCUGAGAGUCUGAGACCAAGAAUGGUGUCGAGAGACAGUGGAG
Molecule: long non-coding RNA, 558 nt
Filed under: Populus trichocarpa (black cottonwood)
Lineage: Eukaryota; Viridiplantae; Streptophyta; Magnoliopsida; Malpighiales; Salicaceae
Description: long non-coding RNA (PTRI_LNC004391)
Source: RNAcentral